This 434-nucleotide ribosomal RNA is filed under the name uncultured bacterium. Its description in RNAcentral is "partial 16S ribosomal RNA". It matches the Rfam family "Bacterial small subunit ribosomal RNA", at positions 29 to 507 of the family's 1533-position model. The record is from RNAcentral.
AGCGAACGCUGGCGGCAGGCCUAACACAUGCAAGUCGAACGAACCUUUCGGGGUUAGUGGCGGACGGGUGAGUAACACGUGGGAACGUGCCUUUAGGUUCGGAAUAACUCAGGGAAACUUGUGCUAAUACCGAAUGUGCCCUUUGGGGGAAAGAUUUAUCGCCUUUAGAGCGGCCCGCGUCUGAUUAGCUAGUUGGUUGAGGUAAUGGCUCACCAAGGCGACGAUCAGUAGCUGGUCUGAGAGGAUGAUCAGCCACAUUGGGACUGAGACACGGCCCAAACUCCUACGGGAGGCAGCAGUGGGGAAUCUUGCGCAAUGGGCGAAAGCCUGACGCAGCCAUGCCGCGUGAAUGAUGAAGAUCUUAGGAUUGUAAAAUUCUUUCACCGGGGACGAUAAUGACGGUACCCGGAGAAGAAGCCCCGGCUAACUUCGUG